CCGGUAUUUCCAGCACUCAGGAAGGACUGC
Molecule: non-coding RNA, 30 nt
Filed under: Mus musculus (house mouse)
Lineage: Eukaryota; Metazoa; Chordata; Mammalia; Rodentia; Muridae
Source: RNAcentral